GCGCUGAAACCAGGGAUUUUAGUAGUUAGCCAUCCAAAGCAAAUAACAGUAAAUCCUGUUCAAAAGUCUGAGGAAUCACUGAGAAUUUGCAUAUUAUGGCAAACACUUUGCAAUUCUUGAAGGAAUGGGUGCUUUCUGUAUCUCAAGGUAUUAAUCUAUGUAUUCAUGUUGUUACACAUUGUAUAACAAUUCCUUGUCCAUCUCUUCCCACAGUUUGUAAGCUCUUUCAGAAAAGGGACUGUCUUUGUUGCUUUUAUAGCAUGAGUACGUGGCAUAUCACAGCAGUUAUUAUUAUAAACAUUAUUCAUUAAUUUAGUGAAUUAAUUUUCAAUUGAAUACAAAUAAAUAUUUUAAAUUAGGAACAUUAUUGCUAGAUUUAUAUGCUCUACUAAAAUAGUUGUAGUAACUGUCCAGAUUACAGGAAGAAUACUGAGGCCUUCUCUAGAACAUAAAUUUGUGCAUUCAUUAUGACAAUUGGGCCCUUCUUACUCAUGGUACUAAUUAAAACACUAUUACGUGUACUUGGCAUUGAGCUCUUAUCAAGAACUAAUUUUCUUUUUGAAAAUUAGUAGAAACAGAAGAAAACAGUAGAAAACAGAAGAAAAUAUCAGUCUUAAAAACUGAUUAAAUCUUAAUGCACAAUUAUCAAAUUAUUUGAAUAAAACAAACAACUAUAAGGAAUGAAAAGAAAGUACACUUGGAAGAGGGCUAAGCGGGCAACUUGAAAGACAAGUACAUGAUUUGACCUUUUGACUUGGAGUUUUAUAUGUUGGCAUGAUUCCAGGGUCUUGUGUUCUUUCUCCCCUGAUUCUUCCCUUUGGGUGGGCUGCCGACAUGGGUAGUGGCCUGCUGGCACUUGGAAGAGGAGCAUGCUCAGUGUGUUUACUGGAUUUGUAUGCUUGUUCACUUCAGGCAUCCUUCCCUUACCAGCUGAAUGUCCCUAGGAGAUCAUAUACCAGUUAAAUGCCACCAUUUUGCCUCCUAGUGUGCAUGUGUGAGCCCACUCACCCAACUCCUGACAUCUUACUGGCAAACUGCUGAUGACCAGCUUCUGGUGUUUCUGUUUGCUGGAGUACUGGCUUUCUCUGGUGCUGGCUGUGACUAGUUAUUAUUUUAGAGAGACAGUUAACAAUAGCCUGACCAUCAGUUGUUGGUCGCCUGAUAUUCCUGGUGUGUUUGUGGUUGGGGGAGCCCUCUUCUGCUCUGCUCAUGUCUGACUAGCAACUUACUGUAUCAUUUUUAUGCUAUGAAGAUAGCUUCUUCUCCUGAACCUCCUGAACUAUCUGUUUCAAACUUCUGCAGCUUCCUCACCUCUCUCAGUGUUCAUGGAAUUGAACAGAGUUCUGGCCUUGCUCUAGAUUAGACUUUGGCUUAAGAGAGUUCUGGCCUUGCUCUAGAAUGUUGUGGCUGGUUUGGUCCUCUAUCCAGACUACUACAACUUUCUCCAUAUCAGCAAUAAGUCUAUUUUGCUUACUUAUUUGUGAGUUCAUUGCAGUAGUACUUUAUUUUCUUUAAGAACUUUUUCUUUGUAUUCACAAUUUGGCUAACUAUUGGUUCAAAAGACCUAGCUGUCAGGCUGCCAUGUCUUUUGAUGACAUCCCUUCCUCACUAAGCUUAAUCGUUUCUAGAUUUUGAUUUAAUAUGAGAGACAUAAGACUCUUUCUUUCACUUGAACACUAGAAGCAAUUGUAGGGUAAUUAACUGACCCAAUUUCAAUAGUGUUGUACCUCAAAGAAUAAAGGGGCCUGAGGAGAAGGAGAGAGAUAGGGGAAUGGCCAGUUAGUGGGACAGUCAGAAGACACACAUUUAUCAAUUAAGCUUUCUGUCCUAUAUGAAUGCAGUUCAUAGCAUGCCACAACAAUUACAAUAGCAUCAUCAAAGGUCACUGAUCACAGACCAUCAUAACUGAUAUAAUAUUAAUGAAAAAGUCUAAAAUAUUGUGAGAAUUACCAAAACAUGACACAAGGACACAAAACGAACACAUGCUGUUGGAAAAAUGGUGCUGAUAGACUUAUUAAAUACAGGACUGCCACAUACCUUCAAUUAAAAAAACAUCUGCAAAGCGCAAUAAAGUAAAGCACAAUAAAAUGAAGCAUGCCUGUGCUUGAAAGAGCUAGGACCAUAUUGACUUCCUAGGAGACAUGACAAUCCAAAAAAUAAAUUUUCUUAUUAAAAUAGUAGAAUAACGAAUUGUAAUAGUAAUAUAAUCAUGACAAUGUAGUGGCGAUUACCAUCGACCCCCUAAAGUUUCACUGAAAAAUCUCUGGCAGGGUUGAUUCAUGAGAGAAAAGGUAUACAAUUUUAUUUAACAUGUAUACACAAGUGCCUUCAGGAUGAAGACCCAACUAUCACGGAUGCCACUGGCUGGGGACAGUGCUGCUGGUGGCAAAAGAAUUUUCCAAGGAAGACGUGGGGAAAGAAAGGCAGAUUUAUUAGAGAGAAAGUAUGCUGCAGGGAAGCAACAGGCAGCACAGCACAAAAGAGGCUGUUUACAAAGAGGCAGGGGUUGGAACAGCAAGACCUGAUACUGAGUUGUACUGGAGGGGCUGCUUUCAGAUAAGGUGUGCAGAUAAGAUGGUGCUGCUGGGGCUAGGAGGUAUUUGGGAACAGGAUGUCAUGCCAGCCGUUGUCUGUGAUUAGCUGUCUUUCCAAAGAAACAAUUGUUCCCCCCACACCUGGGAUCCCUUGCUCUUGUUGCUUAGCGAACUUAUCAGGACUCCACACCAAAUUUCUAAUGAGUUACAGAAACUUAUAUAUCAUUCUGAGGUUACAAAAAGAAAGGGGGCUUGGAUUCUGGUAAAAUAGGUUAUAGGAGGAGGCAGAAAAGGAAUUCUAUUGAGAGGCAAUAAAUUAUUGUUAGGGAGAAUAAUUGGACUCAGGAACAGAGAUUAACUUGUAAAUAGUUUUCAAUGGGAUAUAAAUGAUCUUUGGAGAUAGUAAAAGUUUCUGCUAAGGUGUGAAUCUUGUCUUUUUUUUCUGCAAUAGAUAAUGUGAUAACAGAGAGGGAAGGAAAAAACAAUUGUUCUUAGUGGGUUUGGAUCUUAGGCAGAUAAAGGAACUUAAGUUCCUUUAGGAGAGACAGUGGGGACUGGUAGUGGGGCGGGGGGAAUGGUCAGUGGUUAAGGGAGACCCUGAGGCUUCUCUAGUUUAGCAUGUCAAAAUGCCAGAUUUUGGGGUACUGAUUUCGGAGCCCCAAAAGCAAAAGUAGCAAAUCCUGAAAGACAGGAAUACGUAUUUGUAAAGGUGCUGAUAUGCAAUUCACACUGAAAAGCAAAAGUGUAUUGCUGACAUCCUAGAAUUGACAGUGACCAAACAUGAGUUGUGGUGCUUGUCUUAGUUAU
This is a long non-coding RNA of Homo sapiens (human), 3341 nucleotides long. Lineage: Eukaryota; Metazoa; Chordata; Mammalia; Primates; Hominidae. The record is from Ensembl.